AAUAGAUACCCCGGGUAGUCCACGCCGUAAACGAUGAGUGCUAAGUGUUAGAGGGUUUCCGCCCUUUAGUGCUGCAGCAAACGCAUUAAGCACUCCGCCUGGGGAGUACGGUCGCAAGACUGAAACUCAAAGGAAUUGACGGGGGCCCGCACAAGCGGUGGAGCAUGUGGUUUAAUUCGAAGCAACGCGAAGAACCUUACCAGGUCUUGACAUCCUUAUGCCUUCUCUAGAGAUAGAGCUUUCCCUUCGGGGACAUAAGUGACAGGUGGUGCAUGGUUGUCGUCAGCUCGUGUCGUGAGAUGUUGGGUUAAGUCCCGCAACGAGCGCAACCCUUGAUCUUAGUUGCCAGCAUUCAGUUGGGCACUCUAAGGUGACUGCCGGUGACAAACCGGAGGAAGGUGGGGAUGACGUCAAAUCAUCAUGCCCCUUAUGACCUGGGCUACACACGUGCUACAAUGGAUGGUACAAAGGGAAGCGAAACCGCGAGGUUAAGCCAAUCCCAUAAAAACCAUUCUCAGUUCGGAUUGCAGGCUG
Molecule: ribosomal RNA, 534 nt
Filed under: uncultured bacterium
Lineage: Bacteria
Description: bacterial SSU rRNA
Rfam family: Bacterial small subunit ribosomal RNA
Source: RNAcentral